ACACAAUGGAAGAGCCCAAGUGUGACCCGGGUAAUCCUGGCUCCAGAGCCUGCUCCUUAGCAAUGGCCUCCAGUCCUGACAGCUCCACUGUCAUCUUGGGGCAAAGUGCAAUUGCUGGGGAAGAACAUCCCAGAGGUUCAAUUCUGCGGGAAGUGCACCUCAAGUUCCUGCUGACGGGACUGCUUUCAGGACUGCCCGCACCACAGUUUGCUAUUCGUAUGUGUCCACCGUUGACCACAAAAAACAUCAAGAUGUAUCAGCCACUGCUGGCUGUUGGUACAAGUAAUGGUUCUGUCCUGGUGUACCAUCUCACCAGUGGUCUGCUACACAAAGAGUUAAGCAUCCACUCAUGUGAAGUCAAGGGUAUUGAAUGGACAAGUUUGACUAGUUUUCUUUCUUUUGCUACCUCAACACCAAACAAUAUGGGAUUAGUGAGAAAUGAACUUCAACUGGUUGAUCUUCCAACAGGUAGGAGCAUUGCUUUUCGUGGUGAAAGAGGCAAUGAUGAAUCUGCCAUCGAAAUGAUUAAAGUAUCUCAUUUGAAGCAGUAUUUGGCAGUCGUAUUCAGAG
This 570-nucleotide small RNA is filed under the name Pan troglodytes (chimpanzee). Its description in RNAcentral is "processed transcript". The record is from RNAcentral. Lineage: Eukaryota; Metazoa; Chordata; Mammalia; Primates; Hominidae.